UACGUAGGGGGCAAGCGUUAUCCGGAUUCAUUGGGCGUAAAGCGCUCGUAGGCGGUCCGUUAGGUCGGGAGUUAAAGACCGGGGCUCAACCCCGGCCCGCUCCCGAUACCGGCGGACUUGAGUUUGGUAGGGGAAGGUGGAAUUCCCAGUGUAGCGGUGGAAUGCGCAGAUAUUGGGAAGAACACCGGUGGCGAAGGCGGCCUUCUGGGCCAUAACUGACGCUGAGGAGCGAAAGCUAGGGGAGCAAACA
RNAcentral lists this ribosomal RNA (250 nucleotides) under uncultured prokaryote. Its description in RNAcentral is "partial 16S ribosomal RNA". It matches the Rfam family "Bacterial small subunit ribosomal RNA", at positions 524 to 774 of the family's 1533-position model. The record is from RNAcentral.